UACGAAGGGUGCUAGCGUUGUUCGGAAUUACUGGGCGUAAAGCGUACGUAGGCGGCUUAGUAAGUCGAUUGUGAAAGCCCUAGGCUCAACCUGGGAAUUGCAAUCGAAACUGCUUGGCUUGAGUUUGGUGGGGGAUGGUGGAAUUUCUAGUGUAGGGGUGAAAUCCGUAGAUAUUAGAAGGAAUACCGGUGGCGAAAGCGACCAUCUACGCCAAUACUGACGCUAAGGUACGAAAGCGUGGGGAGCAAACAGG
RNAcentral lists this ribosomal RNA (253 nucleotides) under uncultured bacterium. Its description in RNAcentral is "partial 16S ribosomal RNA". It matches the Rfam family "Bacterial small subunit ribosomal RNA", at positions 524 to 776 of the family's 1533-position model. The record is from RNAcentral.